GGGCGGCUAUAAAGGGAGGGCGCAGGCGGCGCCCGGAUCUCUUCCGCCGCCAUUUUAAAUCCAGCUCCAUACAACGCUCCGCCGCCGCUGCUGCCGCGACUCGAACUGCGCGCCAGCAUCCCCCGGCCGACAACGCCGCCGCCAUGGAGGACAUGAACGAAUACAGCAACAUAGAGGAAUUCGCAGAGGGGUCCAAGAUCAACGCGAGCAAGAAUCAGCAGGAUGACGGUAAAAUGUUUAUUGGAGGCUUGAGCUGGGAUACAAGCAAGAAAGAUCUGACUGAGUAUUUGUCUCGAUUUGGGGAAGUUGUAGACUGCACAAUUAAAACAGAUCCUGUCACUGGAAGAUCAAGAGGAUUUGGAUUUGUGCUUUUCAAAGAUGCUGCUAGUGUUGAUAAGGUUUUGGAACUGAAAGAACACAAACUGGAUGGCAAAUUGAUAGACCCUAAAAGAGCCAAAGCUUUAAAAGGGAAGGAACCCCCAAAAAAGGUUUUUGUGGGUGGACUGAGCCCAGAUACUUCUGAAGAACAAAUUAAAGAAUAUUUUGGAGCCUUUGGAGAGAUUGAAAAUAUUGAACUUCCCAUGGAUACAAAAACAAAUGAAAGAAGAGGAUUUUGUUUUAUUACGUACACAGAUGAAGAGCCAGUAAAGAAAUUGUUAGAAAGCAGAUACCAUCAGAUUGGUUCUGGGAAGUGUGAAAUUAAAGUUGCUCAGCCCAAAGAGGUAUAUAGGCAGCAACAGCAACAACAAAAAGGAGGUAGAGGUGCUGCAGCUGGUGGACGAGGUGGUACUAGGGGUCGUGGACGAGGUCAGGGCCAAAACUGGAACCAAGGAUUUAAUAACUAUUAUGAUCAAGGAUAUGGAAAUUACAAUAGUGCCUAUGGUGGUGAUCAAAACUAUAGUGGCUAUGGCGGCUAUGAUUAUACUGGGUAUAACUAUGGGAACUAUGGAUAUGGACAGGGAUAUGCAGACUACAGUGGCCAACAGAGCACUUAUGGCAAGGCAUCUCGAGGGGGUGGCAAUCACCAAAACAACUACCAGCCAUACUAAAGGAGAACAUUGGAGAAAACAGCGGGAACUUCAUUGCAGGCCGUGUGUCACCCUGACCACGUCUAUCUCUGGGGGUCGCACGUUGCGGGCAGAGCGCAAGGCAUACACCAGAAAACGCUGUCCUGUGGAGGAGAUUGCUAAAGUAACCCGUCUUGCAGGACGACACUGAAGAUUGGUCUCCUGUUGAUCUAAGAUGAUAAUUUUGUAAAAGACUUUCUAGUGUACAAGACACAACUGUGUCCAACUGUAUAUAGCCGCCAAUUAGUUUUCUUUGUUUUUACUUUGUCUUUUGCUAUCUGUGUUAUGACUCGAUGUGGAUUUGUGUUUAUACAAAUUUUAUUUGUAUGGUUUCGUGUUAAACCUCAAAUAAAUGCUUCCUUAUGUGAUUGUUUUUCUGCGUCAGGUACUAAAUAGCUCUGUAAAAGUGUAAUUUUAAAUAAGCAAUAAUUAAGGCACAGUUUAUUUUGUAGAGAGUAUUGAUCCAUAGGGAGAAACUGGUCUUUUAUAAAUAGCCAGCUACGGUGUUUACUCUGUUCCCCUUUUUUGUUAGAUGUAUUCUAAGCUCUAAGGCUUCAUUUUUCUGUUACCUGAGGCUUCCACCAUACCUUUAAGUAAUGUUUCCUCUGUAUAUCUGGAGACUUUGUCAUGAAAAUCUUCAUGACAUAGUGUUGUGAUUAGUGGAAACUUUCUAGUAGACCAUGAAUCUUGGUUGUAUUUUGAAAAGUAAUUUUCUGAUGGCACAGAGCAUGCUGGUAACUCCUUUUUAUGAAUAGAAAGAUUUUGAUUUGUUCUUGUCUCUGGAAGGUCAUUUGUUAGGGUUUGCUAUAUUCUAAUCAGUGGUCUGCUAGAAAGUGCUUUGACUAAUUCAUAAUACUUAACUUUUGUUUUCUUGAUUAAAAUGUCCAGAUAUACACAGGGAAAAGCACUUAAACUGUGAUAGGAGCUACAGUUUAAGAACAUCAGAUGUAGUUACAUUUAACAAAGGGUUUGGCAAAUAGGUAUACGAUUAUUAAAGUUUGAGCAAAGAUUAGGUUAAAAUAUUUGAAGUAGUGGCUGAGUAAAUUAAAUUGUAUACUAUUCUGUUGGUAUUAUGUCACAGCAAGCACCAAACUGAACAAAAUGUUUUCUCUUGGGGCAUUGUUAGGAAGCUAUAUUGGAUGUUAACUGUUACGUGGUGUAAGUUUAUAGACGUCACGAUAGUAGGUUUCAUCAUUUUUAGUGCAGUUAGUGCAUGAGCUGAGUAGUUACCCAUAUUCAGACAUAGGAAGGAAUAGUGGGGAAAGGUAUACUUUAAACCUUAUGUAAGUGAAAACCUAGGUGUGACCAAGUCAUUACAGCACAUCUUCUAGUGCAUUAGAAAGAGUGGUGUUAGCUCUAGAUUUUGGAGGAAAUCCUUGGUAAAUUCAAGCUUUGGAUUUUACAUUCAGUGUAGUUAAUGAAUUUAAGGUUUUCGUUUUAUUUCUGUGGUUCUGUGUUAGCCACUAGACUGGCAUACAUGUUCACAUGUGGAAUAGUUGACCUCACCUUCAACCAAGUGUAAAUUUUUUAUGUUAAUGAACCUGCCUUUUUUUUGUUGUUUUAUUUGGUGCCUGCAACUUCCUUUGUUCCAAUGUUUGUACUUGCUGGGCUAUCAAGUUACAGUGCUUUUGGCCUUGUUUUGCUCCUGUUUUGCUCUUUGACCCUACACCUAGGCCAAGUACCAAUGUUGGCUAUUACAAGCGAUUGUUCAUUCUUUCAACAUGCCAACCUUAGGGAACAGAAAGGAGAUUUCAAGUUGUGUUGUCAAAGUCAGUAGGUGCAGUGUCUUAGGGCAGUGAAUCCUGUAAGUUCAAAUUUAUGAUUAGGUGGCAAGUUGACAUUGAGAUUGUCCUUUCCCUGGUCAAAAAUGAAUAAAGGCUUUUUAAACAAAAUCCAAACUCUUCAA
Molecule: RNA transcript, 2973 nt
Organism: Vicugna pacos (alpaca)
Lineage: Eukaryota; Metazoa; Chordata; Mammalia; Artiodactyla; Camelidae
Gene: HNRNPDL
Gene name: heterogeneous nuclear ribonucleoprotein D like
Source: RefSeq, a predicted model, not a curated record